GAUGAACGCUGGCGGCGUGCCUAAUACAUGCAAGUCGAGCGAACGGACGAGAAGCUUGCUUCUCUGAUGUUAGCGGCGGACGGGUGAGUAACACGUGGAUAACCUACCUAUAAGACUGGGAUAACUUCGGGAAACCGGAGCUAAUACCGGAUAAUAUUUUGAACCUCAUUGUUCAAAAGUGAAAGACGGUCUUGCUGUCACUUAUAGAUGGAUCCGCGCUGCAUUAGCUAGUUGGUAAGGUAACGGCUUACCAAGGCAACGAUGCAUAGCCGACCUGAGAGGGUGAUCGGCCACACUGGAACUGAGACACGGUCCAGCCCCCUACGGGAGGAAGCAGUAGGGAAUCUUCGGAAAUGGGCGAAAGCCUGACGGAGAAACGCCGCGUGAGCGAUGAAGGUCUUCGGAUCGUAAAACUCUGUUAUUAGGGAAGAACAUAUGUGUAAGUAACUGUGCACAUCUUGACGGUACCUAAUCAGAAAGCCACGGCUAACUACGUG
RNAcentral lists this ribosomal RNA (497 nucleotides) under uncultured bacterium. RNAcentral's name for it is "partial 16S ribosomal RNA". It matches the Rfam family "Bacterial small subunit ribosomal RNA", at positions 28 to 507 of the family's 1533-position model. The record is from RNAcentral.